Molecule: long non-coding RNA, 527 nt
Organism: Rana temporaria (common frog)
Lineage: Eukaryota; Metazoa; Chordata; Amphibia; Anura; Ranidae
Exons: 2
Source: RefSeq, a predicted model, not a curated record
GGAUAUUCCAUAGGAAUAUAUAGAUAAUGCAGUCCAGCUGCGUGGUGUCAUUGCUCCCCCUAGUGGACAUUCCAUAGGAAUAUAUAGAUCAUGCAGUCCAGCUGUGUGGUGUCAUUGCUCCCCCUAGUGGACAUUCCAUUGGAAUAUAUAGGUAAUGCAGUCCAGCUGUGUGGUGUCAUUGCUCCCCCUAGUGGACACUCCAUAGGAAUAUAUAGAUAGUGCAGUCCAGCUGUGUGGUGUCAUUGCUCCCCCUAGUGGACAUUCCAUAGGAAUAUAUAGAUAAUGCAGUCCGGCUUUGUGGUGUCAUUGCUCCCCCUAGUGGACAUUCCAUUGGAAUAUAUAGGUAGUGUGCUCCAGCUGUGUGGUGUCAUUGCUCCCCCUAGUGGACAUUCCAUAGGAAUAUAUAUAGAUAAUGCAGUCCGGCUGUGUGGUGUCAUUGCUCCCCCUAGUGGACAUUCCAUUGGAAUAUAUAGGUAAUGCAGUCCAGCUGUGUGGUGUCAUUGCUCCCCCUAGUGGACAUUCCUUAG